RNAcentral lists this ribosomal RNA (492 nucleotides) under uncultured bacterium. RNAcentral describes it as "partial 16S ribosomal RNA". It matches the Rfam family "Bacterial small subunit ribosomal RNA", at positions 29 to 507 of the family's 1533-position model. The record is from RNAcentral.
AGUGAACGCUGGCGGCAGGCCUAACACAUGCAAGUCGAACGGCAGCACAGUAAGAGCUUGCGCUUACGGGUGGCGAGUGGCGGGCGGGUGAGGAAUAUAUCGGAAUCUACUUUUUCGAGGGUCAUAACGUAGGGAAACUUACGCUAAUACCGCAUACGACCUACGGGUGAAAGCAGGGGAUCUUCGGACCUUGCGCGAGUGUAUGAGCCGAUGUCGAAUUAGCUAGUUGGCGGGGUAAAGGCCCACCAAGGCGACGAUCCGUAGCUGGUCUGAGAGGAUGAUCAGCCACACUGGAACUGAGACACGGUCCAGACUCCUACGGGAGGCAGCAGUGGGGAAUAUUGGACAAUGGGCGCAAGCCUGAUCCAGCCAUGCCGCGUGUGUGAAGAAGGCCUUCGGGUUGUAAAGCCCUUUUGUUGGGAAAGAACAGCAGUAGGUUAAUACCUCGCUGUUCUGACGGUACCCAAAGAAUAAGCACCGGCUAACUUCGUG